This 254-nucleotide ribosomal RNA is filed under the name uncultured bacterium. RNAcentral describes it as "partial 16S ribosomal RNA". It matches the Rfam family "Bacterial small subunit ribosomal RNA", at positions 524 to 776 of the family's 1533-position model. The record is from RNAcentral.
UACGGGGGGAGCAAGCGUUGUUCGGAUUUACUGGGCGUAAAGGGCGCGUAGGCGGUCAGCACAGGUCAGUUGUGAAAUCUCCGGGCUUAACUCGGAAAGGUCAACUGAUACUGUGCGACUAGAGUGCAGAAGGGGCAACUGGAAUUCUCGGUGUAGCGGUGAAAUGCGUAGAUAUCGAGAGGAACACCUGCGGCGAAGGCGGGUUGCUAGGCUGAUACUGACGCUGAUGCGCGAAAGCCAGGGGAGCGAACGGG